Molecule: ribosomal RNA, 253 nt
Filed under: uncultured bacterium
Lineage: Bacteria
Description: partial 16S ribosomal RNA
Rfam family: Bacterial small subunit ribosomal RNA
Source: RNAcentral
UACGAAGGGGGCUAGCGUUGCUCGGAAUCACUGGGCGUAAAGGGUGCGUAGGCGGGUUAUUAAGUCAGAGGUGAAAUCCUGGAGCUCAACUCCAGAACUGCCUCUGAUACUGAUAGUCUUGAGUAUGGGAGAGGUGAGUGGAACUGCGAGUGUAGAGGUGAAAUUCGUAGAUAUUCGCAAGAACACCAGUGGCGAAGGCGGCUCACUGGCCCAUUACUGACGCUGAGGCACGAAAGCGUGGGGAGCAAACAGG